GACGAACGCUGGCGGCGUGCCUAAUACAUGCAAGUCGAGCGGACUUUCAAGAAGCUUGCUUUUUGAAAGUUAGCGGCGGACGGGUGAGUAACACGUGGGCAACCUGCCUGUAAGACGGGGAUAACUCCGGGAAACCGGGGCUAAUACCGGAUAAUAUCUUUCUUCGCAUGAAGGAAGGUUGAAAGGCGGCGCAAGCUGCCGCUUGCAGAUGGGCCCGCGGAGCAUUAGCUAGUUGGUGGGGUAACGGCUCACCAAGGCGACGAUGCGUAGCCGACCUGGGAGGGUGAUCGGCCACACUGGGACUGAGACACGGCCCAGACUCCUACGGGAGGCAGCAGUAGGGAAUCUUCCGCAAUGGACGAAAGUCUGACGGAGCAACGCCGCGUGAGCGAAGAAGGUCUUCGGAUCGUAAAGCUCUGUUGUCAGGGAAGAACAAGUACCGUUCGAAUAGGGCGGUACCUUGACGGUACCUGACCAGAAAGCCACGGCUAACUACGUGCCAGCAGCCGCGGUAA
Molecule: ribosomal RNA, 515 nt
Filed under: uncultured bacterium
Lineage: Bacteria
Description: partial 16S ribosomal RNA
Rfam family: Bacterial small subunit ribosomal RNA
Source: RNAcentral